UAGAGUUUGAUCAUGGCUCAGGACGAACGCUGGCGGCGUGCCUAACACAUGCAAGUCGAGCGAGGUCCAUUCAGUAGCAAUACUGAUGAAGACCUAGCGGCGAACGGGUGAGUAACACGUGAGAAACCUGCCCCAAAGUCUGGGAUAACCCGGGGAAACCCGAGCUAAUACCGGAUACCUUCUUUUGACCGCAUGGUCAGCUGAAGAAAGUUUUUUCGCUUUGGGAGGGUCUCGCGGCCUAUCAGUUAGUUGGUGGGGUAACGGCCUACCAAGACAUCGACGGGUAGCUGGUCUGAGAGGACGAUCAGCCUCACUGGGACUGAGACACGGCCCAGACUCCUACGGGAGGCAGCAGUGGGGAAUCUUGCGCAAUGGGCGAAAGCCUGACGCAGCAACGCCGCGUGCGGGAUGAAGGCCUUCGGGUUGUAAACCCCUUUCAGGAAGGACGAAGCCACUCGGGUGAAUAGCCCAGAGGGUGACGGUACUUCCAGAAGAAGCCCCGGCUAACUACGUGCCAGCAGCCGCGGUAGCCCA
This 534-nucleotide ribosomal RNA is filed under the name uncultured bacterium. RNAcentral describes it as "bacterial SSU rRNA". It matches the Rfam family "Bacterial small subunit ribosomal RNA", at positions 1 to 527 of the family's 1533-position model. The record is from RNAcentral.